Molecule: ribosomal RNA, 479 nt
Filed under: uncultured Bacteroidota bacterium
Lineage: Bacteria; Pseudomonadati; Bacteroidota
Description: bacterial SSU rRNA
Rfam family: Bacterial small subunit ribosomal RNA
Source: RNAcentral
ACGCUAGCGGCAGGCCUAAUACAUGCAAGCUGAACGGUAAAUAUUAUAGCAAUAUGAUAUGAGAGUAGCGUAAGGGUGCGUAACACGUAUGCAAUCUGCCCUGUACAGGAGAAUAGCUCGGCGAAAGCCGGAUUAAUACUCCGUAAUAUUGUUGGGUGGCAUCACCUGAUAAUUAAAGUCGCAAGACGGUAUGGGAUGAGCAUGCGUCUGAUUAGCUAGUUGGUAGUGUAACGGACUACCAAGGCGAUGAUCAGUAGGGGAACUGAGAGGUUGAUCCCCCACACUGGCACUGAGAUACGGGCCAGACUCCUACGGGAGGCAGCAGUAGGGAAUAUUGGUCAAUGGAUGCAAGUCUGAACCAGCCAUGCCGCGUGCAGGAAGAAGGCCUUCUGGGUUGUAAACUGCUUUUGCCGGGGGAUAAAAAGCUCAUGCGUGAGCAAUUGAAGGUACCCGGUGAAUAAGCCACGGCUAACUACGUG